UCUCUCCAGACACCACAUCUUUACAACCAUCGCUUUAGUAGUUCCAACUUUUUCCUUAAAAGACGUUUGUAUGUUCUGUUGGAAGGUGGUAUUGUAAUCUGUGAUGGUAGUUCCCCUUCAGAGAGUGUUUUGCUCUUCCCUUCUACAGGACAAGAAAAAUCUUCUAGACACAUGAAAAAACUUAUAGACACUGUCUUGCAGACAUGCAGACAAGGGGUUAAUAAAACCAAUUUUCAGUAAUAAAACUUAUAGAGUACUCCUUAUGUCUUUAGUGUAGGCGUCCUACUGAAAAAAUCAGCUGAAAAAAUCAGGGAAAAAAUUGGUCCCCCAAAACCAAUUUUCCUUGUAAUAAAACAGGCAGCUUUCCUGCAUGUUCGUUUCAACAAACGAAAUGUUGCUCGGGAAACAAAAUAGCACCACACACAAGUUUCUAAUAUGCCCUGAAAUUUUAAGCCUACGGUGGAGCAGUCCAAAUUCCAAAAUUGCUUUGUUGUCAGCUUUCGUCUUUGCAUAUGUAGGUUAAGGUUAAGCUAAGAAGUGAGAAAUGAAAAUGGCCCAAACAGGUGUAGAGGAUACAUCACUGUUAAAGAGUAACUAAAAAAAAAGCUUUGACAGUAUUUCUUCUGUGUGAUCUUACUGUCUGUCUGGGGGUGUGCAUUUGUUGUCAGUGCUUAUGUGAGAGAGUUUGUAUUUCGAAAGUGUGUGUUUUCAGACCAUUUAUCUCUCUUUUUUGACUUAAAGACACAUAACACUCCUGCACACUUGAGAAAAUCAGUAUUUUUUUCCUUUUUUGGACAGAGGCUAAGUGUUUACACAACAGCGUCUUAGCGCUCACACCACCUACUGGAUUAUCAGCUUCACCAACGAAAACAUUGCGAAGGGAAUCUCAAAUAACAAAAUUUGUCGAUCUUAAGUUUCUUCAUCAACCAGUAGUUUGUUGUUUCGGCUAGCGACCGGUGCGCAAGAAGGAAGGGAUAAGGUGCUUGGUUGACCCGGACCGGACGACAGGACACCGUCGGGGAUUCGCUGCAACGCAGCGACGGCUUCCGCAUCUUCUCAGGCCAAGGUAAGCUUUGAAACGAAUUUGUUGCUGCAACUGUUCUUUAGUAGCCUGUGAUAUGUUAGUGAAUUUGUCGCUCAAACAUAAAAUGAACUGACUUCUUUUCAAUGCUUCCCCUAAUAUAACUUUUAUAUAUAUGACAUAUGUUAAGUAUAAUACAAUGAGCUUGUGUGUAUUGGGGGUUUUUAUUGGGGUAUAAAGUUUAUAUGCAUUCUUCCGGUAUAUAUCGGUUGAUGCUAAUUUUUAGAUAAAAUUGUGCGUGGGGAGGCAUUAGACGUUAUCUCUGUAGAGUCGAAGGCCUUAUUUUGCUGCUCGUCUCCAAAUAAAAUCUCGGCAGAAGUAGUUCAGCUUCUGUUGUGCCCCAUUCCUUUUGCAUGAGAAGGAGUUCGGCUUCACAGGAAACUGCUACAAGAUGCCCAACACGAGUGGCAAAGUUCAUCAAUACUAACCAAGCCUGUAAGACAGCUCAACAGAUUCCAAUAAUAAAUCCACAAUGCUCAUAGUUUAAGCAGCAUCACCGCCAUAAAAGAAGUACUUUAAUCUAAAAGUUAUGGCGAAGAAAGCGUUAACAAGAUUGAAUAGAAAUAUAUGCAAAAGAAUAUGUGAUCCAGUAAAUAAUCAUUGGCACUCUCAGAAUGCAUGCCGAACUGCAACAGUUCUCUUUCUAACCACUUCAUGAAACCAUUUAGCUGAGAUGAGUAAUUUUUGUUGCUCUCUUCAGUGGUUAGCAGUUCAUUAGUAACAAAUGUUUUUUGUUAUUUAAAAUUACAUGAAAAUGUGUAGCAGUGACCAAAACACAAGGAAUUGAACCAAAAUGUUCCGACAGCUCACCUUGAUCUUUUCUGCUUAAUUCAUCAGUCGAUUUCUCAAUUCUUCCGACAGCUCACCAUUUAGCGAGGCAUCAAACUUGAACACAUCAAACUUGAACUCACCACAGGUCUUGGAGUAUCCACACGAGAGCCAACUGGAGACUCCGAACCCAUUAGAGUCGUUUGCUUUGAGGUGGACCAGUCUACCUUUAAAAGGGCGAGUGGAAAUGACUUUUCUGAUCAAAGCAUAAUAGGGAGGCAUACCAUCUUCCUCAUCAUACAUGGCCCAGACUUGAUCAUUUUGAAAUGAACUUUCAGAAUGAUCACCAAAACUGGAAAAAUCUGCAUCAGGAACACUGUAGAAAUCUACAUCAGGAUCAGGAAUUUUGUCAGAGCCUGCAUCAGGACAUACUUGGUUCAAACAGCCAUAUCUGGCAGGCAUAUGGUACUCUGUUCCCGGAGUAGCACCAGUUACUUCAUCUCCCAGUUCCUUCUUGUGUUGCUUGCGGUUUCUCCUCGUGUAUACUAUGCACACUUCAGGUACAGGCCAUGACUUCAGCUUUUCUUUCAACCCAACCUGUUUACUGCUCUUCUGCCUCUCCUUUUCUUCAGAAUCAACCCUUCUGCUAACCAACUCCAAGACAUCUAUUCUUGGAUCAACUGAACUGCUGCUUUGCUUCAUCUCAAUUUUAUUGACCUCAUUUUAUAUGUUGCAAACACCUUUUGUGCUGAUUUUCUUACCAUUCUACAUCUUUUGUUUCUUUUUCACAUUGGCUUUCUUGCUACUCAGCUCCUGCAACUUCUGAGAACACCGAUUUGCAUCCAUCACCAUCAGGGUAGGAGGCUACUGAGGUUCCUUGCUUGCCAGCAUUGGCGUGUUUUCUCUUUGCAGCUUCAUGCUCACUUGUUGCUGCAUUUGCUCGUCUGGGUACGGCUGCCCCGAUGCUGGUGGCUCGAGGCCGUACUGGGCCAGUACAGUAGCCAAGGAAGGCAACCCCAUGUGCACACAGGAUCAGUCUCAAAAUAGAUUCAUUUGGUUCUUCCUUCAUGAUGCUUGCAGCUUUGUUCAUUACCCUCUUGUCUUGGCUCUCUUCAUCCCAAGGCUGUUGUGGAAAGGGGACGCUGAACCGGAUCUCUGCAUCCCUUCCUCACGAAGGGUGCCAUUAAGCAUCGCAAGCUCCCGUAGCUGCUGCUUCUUGAAGUAGUCCUGGAAUUCAUCCUGCAGAGUAGAAAACAAGUACUCAGGUACCGGUUCUUCAAGAUGGACUCAAAGCAAGCAAGCAAGCCAAGAGUUUUAAAAAGGAUAAAGGUGUUAAUGGCAUACCACAGGCUUUAGCAGACCUUCAAGGAUCUCGCGGGCUUGCAUCAAACACACAUCAAUGAUUUCAACAGGUAGCUCUGCCUCAACCAAUAUAUGGAGGGGUUCAUUCAGGUGUUCAUAUCCUGCCUUCCCUCGCAUCAUUUCCUCCUGAAAAAUAAUAGCAUAAGCGAUCCCCAAUCCCAUAGCACUAAGUAAACAGAAAAUCCACUAGAUGGACACAUGCAUAAAGGUAGUCAGGCCAUCUAAGGAUGGAUGCUCCCAUGCUGUGAAGUUCCAGAAAGAAAGUGUUUUUUUAAGAAUCACCAGGUAGCCAGUGUUGUCUUUCAUACCAAGGCACAGAAUGGGAAGGUACAUAAAAGAAAACGAUUUGAAAAACCAAGAAGGAACAAACUAUAAAACAACCAUAUUUACCUAGCCAGAUGCUACCAGGGUUGAUCUGGCUUUUAGUGACUCGUCAUACAUGACGAAUCAAGUCCAUAUAAGUUCAUAAGUAGUUCAUACUUCAUACAUAAACUCCACUUGUCCAAAGUUCAUAAGUAGUACAUCAAUGGAUGUCACACCCUUUUCGUAAUAGAUCAUGUUAAAAAGCAUGUGACUUUUAUCAACUUUACACCGACUCAAGAUUGGUGUAAACACAUGCCAUACAAGAGGUUCGCGGAAGCGAUUAUCAUGGCCUCAAAAAAAUAUAAGAUUGCUUACAACAAGAAACGUUCUGGAUGGGCAGAGGAUAUCUUUAAAUGGGAACAUACAAUUCAUACUGGUGUUCCAAUUGACUUAAGAGGGUAUUUUCUUCGUACCACCUUCUCAGCAGUUUAAAUUUUUUCUAUGAUAAUCAUUGUAUAAAACAUAGUUACCCAAACAUUAUUCUAUAGGUUUAAUAUCAGCUACCUUGUUCUACAAGCUGGCUAUGUGGGGGAAUGACAGAUGACUGAAAUUUGUUGGGGAUGCAAAGAUUCUUCGAAGGAACUUUGUGAUUGAUCUGUUAAGUUAUGAGGACAAUUCGUGCCGAUAUGCCAUUCCUGCAAACAUACAAUAGAGACUUAUCGAUAUCGCUAAAAAGGAUUAGCUGGUUAGUGUACAGUUGUCGACACAUUUUUCUGUAAUUAAAAAUUCUAAAUUAACUUUUUAGAAAUAAUUUGUGUGAUAUUGAUAAUGUUUUCCACACGUAUUUUGCAUAUUAUAGUGAUGUUUGUCGUUC
RNA transcript from Zea mays, 4388 nucleotides. It is a transcript of the gene named Ca2+/calmodulin-dependent protein kinase phosphatase, with no coding region annotated. The transcript has 4 exons. NCBI's taxonomy places the organism in Eukaryota, Viridiplantae, Streptophyta, Magnoliopsida, Poales, Poaceae. The record is from RefSeq and is marked validated.